GUGGGGAAUAUUGGACAAUGGGCGAAAGCCUGAUCCAGCAAUGCCGCGUGAGUGAUGAAGGCCCUAGGGUUGUAAAGCUCUUUUACCAGGGAUGAUAAUGACAGUACCUGGAGAAUAAGCUCCGGCUAACUCCGUGCCAGCAGCCGCGGUAAUACGGAGGGAGCUAGCGUUGUUCGGAAUUACUGGGCGUAAAGCGCGCGUAGGCGGUUUUUUAAGUCAGAGGUGAAAGCCCGGGGCUCAACCCCGGAAUUGCCUUUGAAACUGGAAAACUUGAAUCUUGGAGAGGUCAGUGGAAUUCCGAGUGUAGAGGUGAAAUUCGUAGAUAUUCGGAAGAACACCAGUGGCGAAGGCGACUGACUGGACAAGUAUUGACGCUGAGGUGCGAAAGCGUGGGGAGCAAACAGGAUUAGAAACCCCGGUAGUCC
RNAcentral lists this ribosomal RNA (425 nucleotides) under uncultured bacterium. Its description in RNAcentral is "bacterial SSU rRNA". It matches the Rfam family "Bacterial small subunit ribosomal RNA", at positions 354 to 796 of the family's 1533-position model. The record is from RNAcentral.